GCCACUAAUGAAAACUGAAAGUAAAGCUAGCGAAAAAGAGCUGAUGACUUCAGCCUUGCCCAUCACCGUAUGCAAGCGUACUCAGGAGGGUGGUGUCACACAAACUACCACCACCACUCGUCCCAGGACUCAGAUGGAAAUGAGUGAGCUCUGCAAAGAGACGGAAAUUCAACCCGACAAAACUCCUAUAGUCUGGCUAGGCUGCCUUGUGGUAGCGGCAGGACACGAAACUCUUGAUUCAGAAGAAGCCAUGCAACUCGUUCAGAACACAGCCUGGAGCCAAGGGCUAGUUACCGAUCCAGUCCCCGUGACGAGAAAUAGACAUUGGCCAAUACCAUUACCGGCCUUGGUAGUAGAAGUUCUCAUGCGGAAAUCACACAUCUGGCAUGAGGGCAGCCCCAACCAACCUAAUGCCAUUCAGUUGCUCCACGCCAUAAUCGGAGUUUCUUAUGCCGUGUGGAACCCAAAUCUACACCCUCUGAAUCUGACACAAGUGCAGCAGGGUGCAGCAUGGCCGCAACAUUAUCUACAUAACCCAGGUCGAGUUCCCUGCCUCCAUGAAGCCAUCGAAGCUGUGACUGACGUAUACAGAGGUCCACAAGGACUUAUUGCAAAAUUAGUCCUUAACCCGAGUAUGAAUGGAGCGUCGACAAACAUCUUAGGCCUAAUAUCCCGCCUGCAAUUGGCAAUGGUGGGCAACCCUCCUAAAGCCCACGCUGCAGCCUACUCAAUUCAAGCACCACCUGAAAAGACCAGUCGCCGGGGCCCACCCAGAGCAGCACUGCCUCAAAGAUCAGCGGAAGAAAGAGCCAUGUUCGGAUUUUUGUUAAACCACACAAGACUCAACAAAGCUCAACUACGGGCACUAGGAGAUGAAGGACAGAAGGCACUCGCAGAACAACUGGGCUUCAAAUACAAUGAGCAGCCAAAAAACGAGUAGUCGCCGUCGGCAGGUCCGACGACACGAUCCAAAAAGCUACUACAGAUGAUCCUCGCCCUUACGCCGAGCUCACCCUCAUCGAUCCAACGAACCCUCUCAGACAAGUAUGUGUCUCAUUCCUACUCGACACAGGAGCCCAAGUCAGCGUGAUUACCACUGAUGUACCCCAUCAGGUGACGAAGAAAGCCAUCAUGAUACAAGGCCUGAAUGCCGUAAAGCCCACACCUGUAAUUGGAUUUUUGGUAAAGGGUCAUCGAAAAGUGCUAACAGG
RNAcentral lists this long non-coding RNA (1211 nucleotides) under Crocodylus porosus (Australian saltwater crocodile). RNAcentral describes it as "lncRNA (ENSCPRG00005010755.1)". Lineage: Eukaryota; Metazoa; Chordata; Crocodylia; Crocodylidae. The record is from RNAcentral.